UACGGAGGGUGCGAGCGUUACUCGGAAUCACUGGGCGUAAAGCGCGCGUAGGCGGCUUUUCAAGUCAGGGGUGAAAUCCCACGGCCCAACCGUGGAACUGCCUUUGAAACUGUAGAGCUUGAGUGUCGGAGAGGGUGGCGGAAUUCCAGGUGUAGGAGUGAAAUCCGUAGAUAUCUGGAGGAACACCGGUGGCGAAGGCGGCCACCUGGACGACAACUGACGCUGAGGUGCGAAAGCGUGGGUAGCAAACAGG
RNAcentral lists this ribosomal RNA (253 nucleotides) under uncultured bacterium. Its description in RNAcentral is "partial 16S ribosomal RNA". It matches the Rfam family "Bacterial small subunit ribosomal RNA", at positions 524 to 776 of the family's 1533-position model. The record is from RNAcentral.